Molecule: ribosomal RNA, 480 nt
Filed under: uncultured bacterium
Lineage: Bacteria
Description: partial 16S ribosomal RNA
Rfam family: Bacterial small subunit ribosomal RNA
Source: RNAcentral
GAUGAACGCUGGCGGCGUGCUUAACACAUGCAAGUCGAACGAAGCACUUUAUUUGAUUUCCUUCGGGACUGAUAUUUUGUGACUGAGUGGCGGACGGGUGAGUAACGCGUGGGUAACCUGCCUUGUACAGGGGGAUAACAGUUGGAAACGGCUGCUAAUACCGCAUAAGCGCACGGCAUCGCAUGAUGCAGGGUGAAAAACUCCGGUGGUAUAAGAUGGACCCGCGUUGGAUUAGCUAGUUGGUGAGGUAACGGCCCACCAAGGCGACGAUCCAUAGCCGACCUGAGAGGGUGACCGGCCACAUUGGGACUGAGACACGGCCCAAACUCCUACGGGAGGCAGCAGUGGGGAAUAUUGCACAAUGGGCGAAAGCCUGAUGCAGCGACGCCGCGUGAGCGAAGAAGUAUUUCGGUAUGUAAAGCUCUAUCAGCAGGGAAGAUAAUGACGGUACCUGACUAAGAAGCACCGGCUAAAUACGUG